This 655-nucleotide long non-coding RNA is filed under the name Physcomitrium patens. Its description in RNAcentral is "long non-coding RNA (PPAT_LNC014767)". Lineage: Eukaryota; Viridiplantae; Streptophyta; Bryopsida; Funariales; Funariaceae. The record is from RNAcentral.
UCUUGGAGUUCUAGCUCACCAUUCUGGUGUUGUUCUUGUACUCAUCUGUUUAAUCUAGUUCUGCCACUUCUUCUUGAACUUCUUGUUAGAUUUCAAGUCUGUAUUUUGUGUCCGUGACAGUUUGUCGAGACUACACUAACUUGAGAUAUCAGAGCUAGUUCUUUCUUAGUAGAGUGUGGAUUACCCCUCUACUUGAAGGUAUACUAGCAUUUUUUUAGAGGUUGCGGAUUACCCUCCUCUAAAUUGAUACUUCUUCUGUUACAAUAUUGGAGUCUUAUUCUUCUUGGAGAGAGUGGAUUACCCCUCUUCUUGAAAUUCUUAAGGCAUUUUAUAGGUUGUGGAUUACCCUCCUAUAAACCAAUAUUGUCUCUUAUAGGGUCAUUUUUGUCCUUCUUUUAGAAUGGCUGGAGGUCAAGACAUUAGUAUGAUAGAAAGUUCGGAGUCUAAGUUAGAUGCUAUUAUGAAUGCCCUCGCUACAUUAUCACAAAGAACUGCAGAGAUUGAAGGAGUAGUGGCAAGGCUUCAUAAUAAUGGAGUAUCUGGGAUAGCACAAUCUAAACUACACCAGCCUCAAAUUUUGGCACUUGGAGAAACAACUUUACCUCAGGUUCGACAAGAACCAUUAGUUCUAUAACAUAAGGAGCCUCGAGUUAGC